RNAcentral lists this ribosomal RNA (301 nucleotides) under uncultured bacterium. Its description in RNAcentral is "partial 16S ribosomal RNA". It matches the Rfam family "Bacterial small subunit ribosomal RNA", at positions 509 to 807 of the family's 1533-position model. The record is from RNAcentral.
CAGCAGCCGCGGGAAUACAGAGGGUGCAAGCGUUAAUCGGAAUUACUGGGCGUAAAGCGCGCGUAGGUGGUUCGCCAAGUUGGAUGUGAAAUCCCCGGGCUCAACCUGGGAACUGCAUCCAAAACUGGCGAGCUAGAGUAUGGUAGAGGGUGGUGGAAUUUCCUGUGUAGCGGUGAAAUGCGUAGAUAUAGGAAGGAACAUCAGUGGCGAAGGCGACCACCUGGACUGAUACUGACACUGAGGUGCGAAAGCGUGGGGAGCAAACAGGAUUAGAUACCCGUGUAGUCCCUGUCUCUUAUAC